This is an RNA transcript of Paramisgurnus dabryanus, 970 nucleotides long. RefSeq lists it as uncharacterized. The record is from RefSeq and is a predicted model, not a curated record. Lineage: Eukaryota; Metazoa; Chordata; Actinopteri; Cypriniformes; Cobitidae.
AAAACUUAUCUCACUUCCAUCAAAUACAGCCAGGAAGGCAAGGACGAGGAAGGGAGAACUUUUACCAACAAACUCAUACAUAACGCUGCCGAAAGGCGCUCCAACUAAAGGAAGCACAAUGUACAAUGCCUGGAGUCUAACAUCAUCCAGUCCUCUAGAGAAACGACAAACUCUCAAGAGUCAGUUUUGAAUUUACGGAGCGAGAUAGCAGCAAAUUCCCAUAAUUCUGUCAGGAGAAGAAGCUCUGUUAAUCUGGGAAUCACAGACUGCAACAUUGCACAGGCAAAUGAAACAUGCAAAAACUCCAAGAAGAAACAGCGAUACGCAAGUAAAACAAGGAUUCAAGUGAAUGAACGAGGAAAGCAGAGAGUACCGGAGAUGUCCCAGUGCGUGCGCUCGCGUGACUGUGAGGAGGGUCUGUGCUGCGCGCUCUACUUGACUGGUAGAAGAUGUCAGCGCGUUCCCGUGAUGGGCGAGGUCUGCUUGCUGCGGGGACGCGCAAAAUUCCACAGAAAACUGGAGCGCUGUGACUGUGAGAAGAACUUGUACUGCCACGAGCAAGCCGACAGCCCGCGUGGACAUGGAGUGUGUAUCAUCCGAAGGACUGGUGAAAAGCCUGGUUAACCAGCCCCCCAAAAAGUUAAAUACUGGUAACCAUAAACCAUUACUCAGUAGCGUGCAUUUUGGAUCAAAACAUUACAGGAAAAUCGUGAUUUACGUUCAAAAGAUUUUUGAUUAACGUAUACAUCCAAUAAAACCCGGAAAGUCGUUCUUUUAACAAUAAAAAAUGAGUAACGUUUAUGUCUGUACAUGAAAACAAAUCUGACAAAGCACGGCCUGGGCGUAAAUUUCUGCAAAUUUUUAAUUAGCUAUCGAGCGACCUCUGUUGGGUAAGAACAUGCACGACUAGUGUGAAUGGUCAACCUUGUUCAAGUGUCCUUUUAAAGGAACAGUUCACUAGAUAAUGAAU